UACGGAGGGUGCAAACGUUGCUCGGAAUCAUUGGGCGUAAAGCGCACGUAGGCGGUUGCUUAAGUUCGGUGUGAAAGCUCCCGGCUCAACUGGGAGAGGGCACUGGAGACUGGGCGACUGGAGGUGGGUAGAGGCUGGUGGAAUUCCCGGAGUAGUGGUGAAAUGCGUAGAUAUCGGGAGGAACACCCAUGGCGAAGGCAGCCAGCUGGGCCUGACCUGACGCUGAGGCGCGAAAGCGUGGGGAGCGAACCGG
RNAcentral lists this ribosomal RNA (253 nucleotides) under uncultured bacterium. RNAcentral describes it as "partial 16S ribosomal RNA". It matches the Rfam family "Bacterial small subunit ribosomal RNA", at positions 524 to 776 of the family's 1533-position model. The record is from RNAcentral.